GGGGGAUCGCAAGACCUCGCGCGGUUGGAUGGACCGAUGUGCAAUUAGCUUGUUGGUGAGGUAACGGCUCACCAAGGCGACGAUCGUUAGCUGGUCUGAGAGGAUGAUCAGCCUCUCUGGGACUGAGACACGGCCCAGACUCCUACGGGAGGCAGCAGUGGGGAAUACGGGACAAGGGGGGCAAGCCGGAUCCAGCAAUGCCUUGUGUGUGAAGAAGGCCCUCGGGUUGUAAAGCACUUUUUUCAGGAGCGAAAUCUCGAAGGGUAAUACCUUUGCAGUCUGACGGGACCUGAGGAAUAAGCACCGGCUAACUCCGUGCCACAGCCGCGGUAAUACGGAGGGGGCAAGCGUUAAUCGAAUUACUGGGCGUAAAGCGUGCGUAGGCGGUUCGUUAAGUUUUGUUGUGAAAGCCCCGGGUUCAACCUGGGGAAGGGCAUUGGAUACUGGCGAGCUAGAGUGUGUCAGAGGAUGGU
RNAcentral lists this ribosomal RNA (473 nucleotides) under uncultured Luteibacter sp. Its description in RNAcentral is "bacterial SSU rRNA". It matches the Rfam family "Bacterial small subunit ribosomal RNA", at positions 198 to 662 of the family's 1533-position model. The record is from RNAcentral. Lineage: Bacteria; Pseudomonadati; Pseudomonadota; Gammaproteobacteria; Lysobacterales; Rhodanobacteraceae.